Long non-coding RNA from Formica exsecta, 936 nucleotides. RefSeq lists it as uncharacterized. Lineage: Eukaryota; Metazoa; Arthropoda; Insecta; Hymenoptera; Formicidae. The record is from RefSeq and is a predicted model, not a curated record. The transcript has 3 exons.
UUUUGUAUAAUUAUUAUAAGUAGGGAUUAUAUUAGCCCGCGUGAUUAAUUAUUUUUCGUGUUUAACGACUUGUAAACGUAGGCGACGACCGUUUAUCGCGGUAGGUGAAGUUAGGGUUAGAUUGAGUUAUUUCGUGCGCUUUAUCUCAUUUCAAGGAGGAAUCGAAGCGGACGAGGACGGGAGUUAUAGAAUCAUCGUACGAUCAUAGUUUCCGCGUCUUUCUUCCGCGAUAUAUUAAAGUGCGUGUCGCGCAUACAUAUAAUUAUCAUCGGGAGUGUCGUGCAAAUUGUCGCGCGAUCGUAAUUAAUCGUAUUUCCGGGAAUAUUUUGCGAGUGCCAAUGCCAUACAAGAGCAGCAAAAGAUAUAUGUAUAAAAGAGGAGGAAAAGGCUGAGAAAAUGUCGGGCAACGACACAGCAAUCAUGAGAUCUACGUACAUUAUACUACCAUUUAUUAGACAUCGUAUCAGUAUUGAAGUUAUUCCUCAAAUACAUUUCUUACGACGACUUUUCAUCCGCAAAGAGUUUAAAUAAACAUUGUCAUAGAAGGUGUGCGUUAUCGUUUCAAUGCAAACCAUCUAACGAACCAUUGAAUUCGUUGCGCUCCCACAGUAUUCAACCUAAACGGAUUUGGCUUCAUUAACCACCGGUGGACCCAUCCCUACUGCAAUCCCUACAGUUUUCUCCGACGAAGCAAGCACGACGUCCUUUCGCGUCGUAACUAUGGUAACAAUAGCAAAGGCAGACGGAAUUAGUACUACCGCGAGAAGACAUCGCGUUCUGAGAAGAAUAUGAUCGAACUUAGUAAAUAUAUCGUAAUAAAUUUUAACCUGUAAUAAUAAGUGAGUCUUGCAAAAUACGUAAUACAAAAAGACAUGCCAGCAACAGCAAAUAUAUUUUACAAGAGAUUAGAUUUUAAUUAUAUAUUCAUGUGCGUAA